Molecule: transfer RNA, 87 nt
Filed under: Desmospora profundinema
Lineage: Bacteria; Bacillati; Bacillota; Bacilli; Caryophanales; Thermoactinomycetaceae
Description: tRNA-Leu
Rfam family: tRNA
About the family: Transfer RNA (tRNA) molecules are approximately 80 nucleotides in length. Their secondary structure includes four short double-helical elements and three loops (D, anti-codon, and T loops). Further hydrogen bonds mediate the characteristic L-shaped molecular structure. tRNAs have two regions of fundamental functional importance: the anti-codon, which is responsible for specific mRNA codon recognition, and the 3' end, to which the tRNAs corresponding amino acid is attached (by aminoacyl-tRNA synthetases). tRNAs cope with the degeneracy of the genetic code in two manners: having more than one tRNA (with a specific anti-codon) for a particular amino acid; and 'wobble' base-pairing, i.e. permitting non-standard base-pairing at the 3rd anti-codon position.
Source: RNAcentral
GCGGUCGUGGUGGAAUAGGCAGACACGCUAUCUUGAGGGGGUAGUGGCCGCAAGGCCGUGCGAGUUCGAGUCUCGCCGACCGCACCA